This 2902-nucleotide ribosomal RNA is filed under the name Klebsiella pneumoniae. RNAcentral describes it as "23S ribosomal RNA". It matches the Rfam family "Bacterial large subunit ribosomal RNA". Lineage: Bacteria; Pseudomonadati; Pseudomonadota; Gammaproteobacteria; Enterobacterales; Enterobacteriaceae. The record is from RNAcentral.
GGUUAAGCGACUAAGCGUACACGGUGGAUGCCCUGGCAGUCAGAGGCGAUGAAGGACGUGCUAAUCUGCGAAAAGCGUCGGUAAGGUGAUAUGAACCGUUAUAACCGGCGAUGUCCGAAUGGGGAAACCCAGUGCAAUUCGUUGCACUAUCGUUAACUGAAUACAUAGGUUAACGAGGCGAACCGGGGGAACUGAAACAUCUAAGUACCCCGAGGAAAAGAAAUCAACCGAGAUUCCCCCAGUAGCGGCGAGCGAACGGGGAGCAGCCCAGAGUCUGAAUCAGCUUGUGUGUUAGUGGAACGGUCUGGAAAGUCCGACGGUACAGGGUGAUAGUCCCGUACACCAAAAUGCACAGGCUGUGAACUCGAAGAGUAGGGCGGGACACGUGGUAUCCUGUCUGAAUAUGGGGGGACCAUCCUCCAAGGCUAAAUACUCCUGACUGACCGAUAGUGAACCAGUACCGUGAGGGAAAGGCGAAAAGAACCCCGGCGAGGGGAGUGAAAAAGAACCUGAAACCGUGUACGUACAAGCAGUGGGAGCACCUUCGGGUGUGACUGCGUACCUUUUGUAUAAUGGGUCAGCGACUUAUAUUCUGUAGCAAGGUUAACCGUAUAGGGGAGCCGCAGGGAAACCGAGUCUUAACUGGGCGUUAAGUUGCAGGGUAUAGACCCGAAACCCGGUGAUCUAGCCAUGGGCAGGUUGAAGGUUGGGUAACACUAACUGGAGGACCGAACCGACUAAUGUUGAAAAAUUAGCGGAUGACUUGUGGCUGGGGGUGAAAGGCCAAUCAAACCGGGAGAUAGCUGGUUCUCCCCGAAAGCUAUUUAGGUAGCGCCUCGUGAAUUCAUCUUCGGGGGUAGAGCACUGUUUCGGCUAGGGGGUCAUCCCGACUUACCAACCCGAUGCAAACUACGAAUACCGAAGAAUGUUAUCACGGGAGACACACGGCGGGUGCUAACGUCCGUCGUGAAGAGGGAAACAACCCAGACCGCCAGCUAAGGUCCCAAAGUCAUGGUUAAGUGGGAAACGAUGUGGGAAGGCACAGACAGCCAGGAUGUUGGCUUAGAAGCAGCCAUCAUUUAAAGAAAGCGUAAUAGCUCACUGGUCGAGUCGGCCUGCGCGGAAGAUGUAACGGGGCUAAACCAUGCACCGAAGCUGCGGCAGCGACACUAUGUGUUGUUGGGUAGGGGAGCGUUCUGUAAGCCUGCGAAGGUGACCUGUGAGGGUUGCUGGAGGUAUCAGAAGUGCGAAUGCUGACAUAAGUAACGAUAAAGCGGGUGAAAAGCCCGCUCGCCGGAAGACCAAGGGUUCCUGUCCAACGUUAAUCGGGGCAGGGUGAGUCGACCCCUAAGGCGAGGCCGAAAGGCGUAGUCGAUGGGAAACAGGUUAAUAUUCCUGUACUUGGUGUUACUGCGAAGGGGGGACGGAGAAGGCUAUGUUAGCCGGGCGACGGUUGUCCCGGUUUAAGCAUGUAGGCUGGUUAUCCAGGCAAAUCCGGAUAAUCAAGGCUGAGGUGUGAUGACGAGGCACUACGGUGCUGAAGUAACAAAUGCCCUGCUUCCAGGAAAAGCCUCUAAGCAUCAGGUAACAUUGAAUCGUACCCCAAACCGACACAGGUGGUCAGGUAGAGAAUACCAAGGCGCUUGAGAGAACUCGGGUGAAGGAACUAGGCAAAAUGGUGCCGUAACUUCGGGAGAAGGCACGCUGGUGUGUAGGUGAAGCCCCUGCGGGUGGAGCUGAGACCAGUCGAAGAUACCAGCUGGCUGCAACUGUUUAUUAAAAACACAGCACUGUGCAAACACGAAAGUGGACGUAUACGGUGUGACGCCUGCCCGGUGCCGGAAGGUUAAUUGAUGGGGUUAUCCGUAAGGAGAAGCUCUUGAUCGAAGCCCCGGUAAACGGCGGCCGUAACUAUAACGGUCCUAAGGUAGCGAAAUUCCUUGUCGGGUAAGUUCCGACCUGCACGAAUGGCGUAAUGAUGGCCAGGCUGUCUCCACCCGAGACUCAGUGAAAUUGAACUCGCUGUGAAGAUGCAGUGUACCCGCGGCAAGACGGAAAGACCCCGUGAACCUUUACUAUAGCUUGACACUGAACAUUGAGCCUUGAUGUGUAGGAUAGGUGGGAGGCUUUGAAGCGUGGACGCCAGUCUGCGUGGAGCCAACCUUGAAAUACCACCCUUUAAUGUUUGAUGUUCUAACGUUGGCCCCUGACCGGGGUUGCGGACAGUGUCUGGUGGGUAGUUUGACUGGGGCGGUCUCCUCCCAAAGCGUAACGGAGGAGCACGAAGGUUAGCUAAUCCUGGUCGGACAUCAGGAGGUUAGUGCAAUGGCAUAAGCUAGCUUGACUGCGAGCGUGACGGCGCGAGCAGGUGCGAAAGCAGGUCAUAGUGAUCCGGUGGUUCUGAAUGGAAGGGCCAUCGCUCAACGGAUAAAAGGUACUCCGGGGAUAACAGGCUGAUACCGCCCAAGAGUUCAUAUCGACGGCGGUGUUUGGCACCUCGAUGUCGGCUCAUCACAUCCUGGGGCUGAAGUAGGUCCCAAGGGUAUGGCUGUUCGCCAUUUAAAGUGGUACGCGAGCUGGGUUUAGAACGUCGUGAGACAGUUCGGUCCCUAUCUGCCGUGGGCGCUGGAGAAUUGAGGGGGGCUGCUCCUAGUACGAGAGGACCGGAGUGGACGCAUCACUGGUGUUCGGGUUGUCAUGCCAAUGGCACUGCCCGGUAGCUAAAUGCGGAAGAGAUAAGUGCUGAAAGCAUCUAAGCACGAAACUUGCCCCGAGAUGAGUUCUCCCUGAGACUUUAAGUCUCCUGAAGGAACGUUGAAGACGACGACGUUGAUAGGCCGGGUGUGUAAGCGCAGCGAUGCGUUGAGCUAACCGGUACUAAUGAACCGUGAGGCUUAACCUU